CUAAUAAUAAACAGUCUCUGGUACUCCUUUCUGUGUAUUUUCUAUUUACACAGCCAGGGCUGUGUAUUAACACCAGAUUUUAUUUCAGCGCACACAUAAAAUAGACAGCUAGGUGACCGUGAGGCAAUAAAUAUUAAAUUUGAC
Etheostoma cragini (Arkansas darter) is the source of this 144-nucleotide long non-coding RNA. RefSeq lists it as uncharacterized. The transcript is spliced from 3 exons. NCBI's taxonomy places the organism in Eukaryota, Metazoa, Chordata, Actinopteri, Perciformes, Percidae. The record is from RefSeq and is a predicted model, not a curated record.